Molecule: non-coding RNA, 73 nt
Organism: Cucurbita pepo subsp. pepo (vegetable marrow)
Lineage: Eukaryota; Viridiplantae; Streptophyta; Magnoliopsida; Cucurbitales; Cucurbitaceae
Source: the annotation of a RefSeq genome assembly
GAUGUUGUGGUGUAGUGGUUAUCACGUUAGUCUUACACACUAAAAGUCCCUACUUCAAUCCUGGGUAACAACA